GUCCAUAAUACCCCCCACCCUUUAAUAUCUAUACUUAAAGCAGACCAGUUUCAUUAUCAUCAUCAACAGUCGCUCCCAACUCCCAAUAUCAUCAUCAUCAACAGCUCUCCUCUCCCAACUCCCCAGAUCAUCAUCAUCAUCUUCAUCGAUGGUGAAAAACAAAGGAAUGGCUGCGGACGUAAAGAUACUACGCAAAACACCAACUACGAAGGCGAGAACACUUGACAACCUCCUAGAAGAUGGCGCGGUGCACAUAAGAAAGUGA
RNAcentral lists this long non-coding RNA (265 nucleotides) under Helianthus annuus (common sunflower). RNAcentral's name for it is "sRNA HanXRQr2_Chr01g0031841". Lineage: Eukaryota; Viridiplantae; Streptophyta; Magnoliopsida; Asterales; Asteraceae. The record is from RNAcentral.